Molecule: long non-coding RNA, 649 nt
Organism: Seriola aureovittata
Lineage: Eukaryota; Metazoa; Chordata; Actinopteri; Carangiformes; Carangidae
Exons: 2
Source: RefSeq, a predicted model, not a curated record
GGCAAAAAAAGUAAAAAAAAAGUCAUAGUAUAGGAAGGCAAAAAAAGUAAAAAAAAAAUCAUAGUAUAGUAAGGCAAAAAAAGUCAUAGUACAGUAAGGCAAAAAAAAGUCAUAGUAUAGUAGGGCAUAAAUAGUCAUAGUAUAAUAAGGCAUAAAAAGUCAAAAAAAAUAGUCAUAGUACAGUAAGGCAAAAAAAGUCAAAAAAAUAGUCAUAGUAUAGUAAGGCAAAAAAAAGUCAUAGUAUAGGAAGGCAAAAAAAGUUAAAAAAAAAGUCAUAGUAUAGUAAGGCAUAAAAAGUAAAAAAAAUAGUCAUAGUAUAGUAAGGCAAAAAAAAGUCACAGUAUAGUAAGGCAAAAAAAGUUAAAAAAAAAAAGUCAUAGUAUAGUAAGCCAAAAAAAAGUCAUAGUAUAGUAAGGCAAAAAAAGUCAAAAAAAUAGUCAUAGUAUAGUAAGGCAAAAAAAGUCACAGUAUAGUAAGGCAAAAAAAGUCAAAAAAAUAGUCAUAGUAUAGUAAGUCAAAAAAAGUAAAAAAAAAAGUCAUAGUAUAGUAAGGCAAAAAAAGUUUUAAAAAAGUCAUAGUAUAGUAGGGCAUAAAUAGUCAUAGUAUAAUAAGGCAUAAAAAGUCAAAAAAAUAGUCAUAGUGUAGUAAG